CUAUAUAACGUUGAAACACCAGUUCUCGAACGAUCACCGAAGUUAAGCAACAUUGAGCUUGGUUAUUACCUAGAUGAAUGAUCGCUUGGGAAUAUAAGUGU
Acanthosepion pharaonis is the source of this 101-nucleotide non-coding RNA. NCBI's taxonomy places the organism in Eukaryota, Metazoa, Mollusca, Cephalopoda, Sepiida, Sepiidae. The record is from the annotation of a GenBank genome assembly.